CAGAGUCAUUCUGGAUGACCUAGAAAAUUCCUAGAGAGGUAUCAUAUUUAGGAAUUUGCUAGUUCUUCCAGGAAGACUGCA
Molecule: microRNA precursor, 81 nt
Organism: Anolis carolinensis (green anole)
Lineage: Eukaryota; Metazoa; Chordata; Lepidosauria; Squamata; Anolidae
Source: Ensembl